GCCGGGGUAGCUCAGCAGGCAGAGCAGCGCUCUUGUAAAGCGAAGGUCAGGGGUUCGACUCCCCUCCCCGGCU
RNAcentral lists this transfer RNA (73 nucleotides) under Euzebyaceae bacterium. Its description in RNAcentral is "tRNA-Thr". It matches the Rfam family "tRNA". From Rfam's summary of the family: Transfer RNA (tRNA) molecules are approximately 80 nucleotides in length. Their secondary structure includes four short double-helical elements and three loops (D, anti-codon, and T loops). Lineage: Bacteria; Bacillati; Actinomycetota; Nitriliruptoria; Euzebyales; Euzebyaceae. The record is from RNAcentral. RNAcentral also lists the same sequence under 2 other names.